This 490-nucleotide ribosomal RNA is filed under the name uncultured bacterium. RNAcentral's name for it is "partial 16S ribosomal RNA". It matches the Rfam family "Bacterial small subunit ribosomal RNA", at positions 28 to 507 of the family's 1533-position model. The record is from RNAcentral.
GAUGAACGCUAGCGAUAGGCUUAACACAUGCCAGUCGAGGGGCAGCAUGGUCUUAGCUUGCUAAGACUGAUGGCGACCGGCGCACGGGUGCGUAACGCGUAUGCAACUUGCCUCACAGAGGGGGAUAACCCGUCGAAAGACGGACUAAUACCGCGUACACUUGGGAUAGGGCAUCCUGACCCAAGGACAUGAAAUUCGCUGUGAGAUAGGCAUGCGUCCCAUUAGCUAGUUGGUGAGGUAACGGCUCACCAAGGCGACGAUGGGUAGGGGUACUGAGAGGUUGAACCCCCACGAUGGUACUGAGACACGGACCAGGCUCCUACGGGAGGCAGCAGUGAGGAAUAUUGGUCAAUGGGCGAGAGCCUGAACCAGCCAAGUCGCGUGAAGGAUGACUGUCUUAUGGAUUGUAAACUUCUUUUAUACGGGAAUAACAAGAGCCACGUGUGGCUCCCUGCAUGUACCGGAUGAAUAAGCAUCGGCUAACUCCGUG